UACGUAGGGGGCUAGCGUUGUCCGGAAUCAUUGGGCGUAAAGAGCGUGUAGGCGGCCCGGUAAGUCCGCUGUAAAAGUCAAAGGCUCAACCUUUGAAUGUCAGUGGAUACUGCCGGGCUAGAGUCCGGAAGAGGCGAGUGGAACUCCUGGUGUAGCGGUGGAAUGCGCAGAUAUCAGGAAGAACACCAACGGCGAAGGCAGCUCGCUGGGACGGUACUGACGCUGAGACGCGAAAGCUAGGGGAGCGAACAGG
This 253-nucleotide ribosomal RNA is filed under the name uncultured bacterium. Its description in RNAcentral is "partial 16S ribosomal RNA". It matches the Rfam family "Bacterial small subunit ribosomal RNA", at positions 524 to 776 of the family's 1533-position model. The record is from RNAcentral.